This 497-nucleotide ribosomal RNA is filed under the name uncultured bacterium. RNAcentral's name for it is "partial 16S ribosomal RNA". It matches the Rfam family "Bacterial small subunit ribosomal RNA", at positions 28 to 507 of the family's 1533-position model. The record is from RNAcentral.
GAUGAACGCUGGCGGCGUGCCUAAUACAUGCAGGUCGAGCGAACGGACGAGAAGCUUGCUUCUCUGAUGUUAGCGGCGGACGGGUGAGUAACACGUGGAUAACCUACCUAUAAGACUGGGAUAACUUCGGGAAACCGGAGCUAAUACCGGAUGAUAUUUUGAACCGCAUGGUUCAAAAGUGAAAGACGGUCUUGCUGUCACUUAUAGAUGGAUCCGCGCUGCAUUAGCUAGUUGGUAAGGUAACGGCUUACCAAGGCAACGAUGCAUAGCCGACCUGAGAGGGUGAUCGGCCACACUGGAACUGAGACACGGUCCAGACUCCUACGGGAGGCAGCAGUAGGGAAUCUUCCGCAAUGGGCGAAAGCCUGACGGAGCAACGCCGCGUGAGUGAUGAAGGUCUUCGGAUCGUAAAACUCUGUUAUUAGGGAAGGACAUAUGUGUAAGUAACUGUGCACAUCUUGACGGUACCUAAUCAGAAAGCCACGGCUAACUACGUG